Molecule: ribosomal RNA, 252 nt
Filed under: Streptococcus salivarius
Lineage: Bacteria; Bacillati; Bacillota; Bacilli; Lactobacillales; Streptococcaceae
Description: partial 16S ribosomal RNA
Rfam family: Bacterial small subunit ribosomal RNA
Source: RNAcentral
UACGUAGGUCCCGAGCGUUGUCCGGAUUUAUUGGGCGUAAAGCGAGCGCAGGCGGUUUGAUAAGUCUGAAGUUAAAGGCUGUGGCUCAACCAUAGUUCGCUUCGGAAACUGUCAAACUUGAGUGCAGAAGGGGAGAGUGGAAUUCCAUGUGUAGCGGUGAAAUGCGUAGAUAUAUGGAGGAACACCGGUGGCGAAAGCGGCUCUCUGGUCUGUAACUGACGCUGAGGCUCGAAAGCGUGGGGAGCGAACAGG